RNAcentral lists this ribosomal RNA (253 nucleotides) under uncultured bacterium. RNAcentral describes it as "partial 16S ribosomal RNA". It matches the Rfam family "Bacterial small subunit ribosomal RNA", at positions 524 to 776 of the family's 1533-position model. The record is from RNAcentral.
AACGUAGGUGGCGAGCGUUAUCCGGAUUUACUGGGCGUAAAGCGUGCGCAGGCGGUUCGUUGUGUCCGUCGUGAAAGCCCCGGGCUUAACCUGGGAACUGCGAUGGAAACUAGCGAGCUGGAGUGUGGCAGAGGGGGGUGGAAUUCCGCGUGUAGCAGUGAAAUGCGUAGAUAUCGGGAGGAAUACCGAUGGCGAAGGCAGGUCUCUGGGCUGACACUGACGCUCAUGCACGAAAGCGUGGGGAGCAAACAGG